Long non-coding RNA from Pollicipes pollicipes, 751 nucleotides. RefSeq lists it as uncharacterized. The transcript is spliced from 3 exons. NCBI's taxonomy places the organism in Eukaryota, Metazoa, Arthropoda, Thecostraca, Pollicipedomorpha, Pollicipedidae. The record is from RefSeq and is a predicted model, not a curated record.
CCGGCGCCGUUCGGUGUCAGGCAGGCGCACAAACGGCUGGCCCGUCCGCCGCGCAGGAGGCUCCGGCACCGCCCUCGACGCACACAAGCAGAGGGCCGGCCGCCGACACACUCCAGGCGGCGGGGACUACUCGGAGACGCGCAGCAGACGCCGCGGGAGGCGCAGCUCAUGCGAUAUAAGUUCGUGCUGGAUCUUCGGGCAGGCCAAGCUGUCGCUACGACAGGAGUGUAGAACGAAAGCUCUCGUCUUGUCGGCCAGCGCGCGGCGCCUGCCGCCACCGUAAUUUCGCAAGAUAUACCAGCGGACCCUGUCGAUGCAGCGCGGCUCAGCGCAGGGCUUCUCGCCCUGCCUGCCACACAGACGCCCACCCUCCAGCUUUAUCACCUGGAGCACCUCAUUCGAAGCCAUCGUUCGGCGGCCCACCUCGACUUCCAUGCCGGCGCGGCCGGCAGACGACACCGCCGCCUGGCGUCAAGUUUCCGAAUCAGCUGGCACUUGGCGCCGCGUACGGCCGGGUCUGCGACAUACGCGAAGCCGGCGCCCGUAUACCGCCCCUGUUGUGCGCACAAUGCUGACUGCAGGGCUGCUUGCAGCACAUCGUGGCGAGUGAAUAAUUGUUUUACAUAGAAAAAUGAUGUUAGUUCAGACGUGAAUAUAAACUAUCGUGCUACCUUCACAGCCCUUGAAAAACUAGAGCCGUGAGCUUGCAAGUCUGACCGCUGCUUGAAAUGCGCUCACGUGCUUACAUCCG